Molecule: ribosomal RNA, 497 nt
Filed under: uncultured bacterium
Lineage: Bacteria
Description: partial 16S ribosomal RNA
Rfam family: Bacterial small subunit ribosomal RNA
Source: RNAcentral
GAUGAACGCUGGCGGCGUGCCUAAUACAUGCAAGUCGAGCGAACGGACGAGAAGCUUGCUUCUCUGAUGUUAGCGGCGGACGGGUGAGUAACACGUGGAUAACCUACCUAUAAGACUGGGAUAACUUCGGGAAACCGGAGCUAAUACCGGAUGAUAUUUUGAACCGCAUGGUUCAAAAGUGAAAGACGGUCUUGCUGUCACUUAUAGAUGGAUCCGCGCUGCAUUAGCUAGUUGGUAAGGUAACGGCUUACCAAGGCAACGAUGCAUAGCCGACCUGAGAGGGUGAUCGGCCACACUGGAACUGAGACACGGUCCAGACUCCUACGGGAGGCAGCAGUAGGGAAUCUUCCGCAAUGGGCGAAAGCCUGACGGAGCAACGCCGCGCGAGUGAUGAAGGUCUUCGGAUCGUAAAACUCUGUUAUUAGGGAAGAACAUAUGUGUAAGUAACUGUGCACAUCUUGACAGUACCUAAUCAGAAAGCCACGGCUAACUACGUG